This 1199-nucleotide ribosomal RNA is filed under the name Bacillus sp. DH25. RNAcentral's name for it is "bacterial SSU rRNA". It matches the Rfam family "Bacterial small subunit ribosomal RNA", at positions 37 to 1169 of the family's 1533-position model. The record is from RNAcentral. Lineage: Bacteria; Bacillati; Bacillota; Bacilli; Caryophanales; Bacillaceae.
CCGCAGUGGGGGUGCUAUAAUGCAAGUCGAGCGGACAGAUGGGAGCUUGCUCCCUGAUGUUAGCGGCGGACGGGUGAGUAACACGUGGGUAACCUGCCUGUAAGACUGGGAUAACUCCGGGAAACCGGGGCUAAUACCGGAUGGUUGUCUGAACCGCAUGGUUCAGACAUAAAAGGUGGCUUCGGCUACCACUUACAGAUGGACCCGCGGCGCAUUAGCUAGUUGGUGAGGUAACGGCUCACCAAGGCGACGAUGCGUAGCCGACCUGAGAGGGUGAUCGGCCACACUGGGACUGAGACACGGCCCAGACUCCUACGGGAGGCAGCAGUAGGGAAUCUUCCGCAAUGGACGAAAGUCUGACGGAGCAACGCCGCGUGAGUGAUGAAGGUUUUCGGAUCGUAAAGCUCUGUUGUUAGGGAAGAACAAGUGCCGUUCAAAUAGGGCGGCACCUUGACGGUACCUAACCAGAAAGCCACGGCUAACUACGUGCCAGCAGCCGCGGUAAUACGUAGGUGGCAAGCGUUGUCCGGAAUUAUUGGGCGUAAAGGGCUCGCAGGCGGUUUCUUAAGUCUGAUGUGAAAGCCCCCGGCUCAACCGGGGAGGGUCAUUGGAAACUGGGGAACUUGAGUGCAGAAGAGGAGAGUGGAAUUCCACGUGUAGCGGUGAAAUGCGUAGAGAUGUGGAGGAACACCAGUGGCGAAGGCGACUCUCUGGUCUGUAACUGACGCUGAGGAGCGAAAGCGUGGGGAGCGAACAGGAUUAGAUACCCUGGUAGUCCACGCCGUAAACGAUGAGUGCUAAGUGUUAGGGGGUUUCCGCCCCUUAGUGCUGCAGCUAACGCAUUAAGCACUCCGCCUGGGGAGUACGGUCGCAAGACUGAAACUCAAAGGAAUUGACGGGGCCCGCACAGCGGUGGAGCAUGUGGUUUAAUUCGAAGCACGCGAGAACUUACCAGUCUGACAUCCUCUGACAUCUAGAGAUAGGACGUCCCCUCGGGGCAGAAUGACAGUGGUGCAUGUGUCUCCACCUCCUGUCUGGGAUGUUGGGUUAUUCCCCCACAAGCGCACCUUGAUUUUAAUUGUCAGCAUCAUUGGAUCUAGUGACUCGCGGCACCGAGAGUUGGUGAGUCAUCACAUGCUGUCUGGUCUACACCUGCCGUCAUGCGACAUGACGAACCCAGUAGCAUUCCACGUUCAUCG